This 216-nucleotide ribosomal RNA is filed under the name uncultured bacterium. RNAcentral's name for it is "partial 16S ribosomal RNA". It matches the Rfam family "Bacterial small subunit ribosomal RNA", at positions 118 to 351 of the family's 1533-position model. The record is from RNAcentral.
UGGGAACCUUCCCUAUGGUUCGGAAUAGCCCAGGGAAACUUGGGGUAAUACCGAAUAAGCCCUUCGGGGGAAAGAUUUAUCGCCAUUGGAUGGGCCCGCGUCGGAUUAGCUAGUUGGUGGGGUAACGGCUCACCAAGCCUACGAUCCUUAGCUGAUCUGAGAGGAUGAUCAGCCACACUGGGACUGAGAUACGGCCCAGACUCCUACGGGAGGCAG